This 416-nucleotide ribosomal RNA is filed under the name Salmonella enterica subsp. enterica serovar Rubislaw. RNAcentral describes it as "partial 23S ribosomal RNA". It matches the Rfam family "Bacterial large subunit ribosomal RNA", at positions 137 to 591 of the family's 2925-position model. Lineage: Bacteria; Pseudomonadati; Pseudomonadota; Gammaproteobacteria; Enterobacterales; Enterobacteriaceae. RNAcentral also lists the same sequence under 5 other names. The record is from RNAcentral.
GACUCGUCACACUAUCAUUAACUGAAUCCAUAGGUUAAUGAGGCGAACCGGGGGAACUGAAACAUCUAAGUACCCCGAGGAAAAGAAAUCAACCGAGAUUCCCCCAGUAGCGGCGAGCGAACGGGGAGGAGCCCAGAGCCUGAAUCAGCAUGUGUGUUAGUGGAAGCGUCUGGAAAGGCGCGCGAUACAGGGUGACAGCCCCGUACACAAAAGCGCAUGUGCUGUGAGCUCGAUGAGUAGGGCGGGACACGUGGUAUCCUGUCUGAAUAUGGGGGGACCAUCCUCCAAGGCUAAAUACUCCUGACUGACCGAUAGUGAACCAGUACCGUGAGGGAAAGGCGAAAAGAACCCCGGCGAGGGGAGUGAAAAAGAACCUGAAACCGUGUACGUACAAGCAGUGGGAGCACCCUUUGGGG